Molecule: ribosomal RNA, 1308 nt
Filed under: uncultured bacterium
Lineage: Bacteria
Description: bacterial SSU rRNA
Rfam family: Bacterial small subunit ribosomal RNA
Source: RNAcentral
AACGAACGCUGGCGGCAUGCCCCAUACAUGCAAGUCGAACGAGGUCUUCGGACCUAGUGGCGCACGGGUGAGUAACAUGUGGGAAUCUACCUGAAGGUUCGGAAUAACUGCGGGAAACUGUAGCUAAUACCGGAUGUGUCUGCAAAGAGAAAGAUUUAUCGCCUUCAGAUGAGCCCGCACUAGAUUAGCUAGUUGGUGAGGUAAUUGCUCCACCAAGGCUACGAUCUAUAGCUGAUUUGAGAGGAUGAUCAGCCACACUGGGACUGAGACACGGCCCAGACUCCUACGGGAGGCAGCAGUAGGGAAUAUUGGACAAUGGGGGAAACCCUGAUCCAGCAAUGCCGCGUGAGUGAAGAAGGCCUUCGGGUUGUAAAGCUCUUUCAUCAAUGAUGAUAAUGACAUUAGUUGAAGAAGAAGCCCCGGCUAACUUCGUGCCAGCAGCCGCGGUAAUACGAAGGGGGCUAGCGUUGUUCGGAAUCACUGGGCGUAAAGCGUAUGUAGGCGGAUCAAAAAGUUAGAUGUGAAAUCCCUGGGCUCAACCCAGGAACUGCAUUUAAAACUAGUGAUCUAGAAUUUGGUAGGGGCCAGUAGAAUUUCCAGUGUAGAGGUGAAAUUCGUAGAUAUUGGAAAGAAUACCAGUGGCGAAGGCGACUGGCUGGGCCAUUUUUGACGCUGAGAUACGAAAGCGUGGGUAGCAAACAGGAUUAGAUACCCUGGUAGUCCACGCAGUAAACGAUGAGUGCUAGUCGCUGGGACAUUAGUUUCAGUGUCGAAGCUAACGCAUUAAGCACUCCGCCUGGGAAGUACGGUCGCAAGAUUAAAACUCAAAUAAAUUGACGGGGGCCCGCACAAGCGGUGGAGCAUGUGGUUUAAUUCGAAGCAACGCGAAGAACCUUACCAGACCUUGACAUGGUAUGUUUGAAUUACAGAAUCGUAAUUCUUCAGUUCGGCUGGCAUACACACAGGUGCUGCAUGGCUGUCGUCAGCUCGUGUCGUGAGAUGUUGGGUUAAGUCCCGCAACGAGCGCAACCCUCAUUUUUAGUUGCCAUCAGGUUAAGCUGGGCACUCUAAAAAAACUGCCGGUGAUAAGCUGGAGGAAGGCGGGGAUGACGUCAAGUCCUCAUGGCCCUUACGGUCUGGGCUACACACGUGCUACAAUGGUGGUGACAGUGGGCAGCAAUACUGCAAAGUAAAGCUAAUCCCAAAAAACCAUCUCAGUUCGGAUUGGACUCUGCAACUCGAGUCCAUGAAGUUGGAAUCGCUAGUAAUCGUAGAUCAGCGUGCUACGGUGAAUACGUUCUCGGGCCU